AUGGUGCUUCAGGAUGUGCAUCGUGGUUGAUGUAGUUAAAAUUCUCUCAUCACCGGGUGCACAUUCGGUCAUACCAUCAUG
Brugia malayi is the source of this 81-nucleotide non-coding RNA. The record is from RefSeq and is a predicted model, not a curated record. Lineage: Eukaryota; Metazoa; Nematoda; Chromadorea; Rhabditida; Onchocercidae.